GUAAGGGAGGUGCGGGAACAAGGACUGGGCAAGACCGGUGCCAGCCGCCGCGGUAAUACCGGCAGUCCGAGUGAUGGCCGAUAUUAUUGGGCUAAAGCGUCCGUAGCUGGCCGCGCAAGUCCAUCGGGAAAUCCAGGGGCUCAACCUCUGGGCGUCCGGUGGAAACUGUGCGGCUUGGGACCGGAAGAUCCGAGGGGUACGUCCGGGGUAGGAGUGAAAUCCCGUAAUCCCGAACGGACCACCGAUGGCGAAAGCACCUCGGAAGCACGGAUCCGACAGUGAGGGACGAAAGCUGGGGUCUCGAACCGGAUUAGAUACCCGGGUAGUCCCAGCCGUUAACGAUGCCUGCUCGGUCUGUCGCGCGCCACGAGCGCGUGAUGUGCCACAGCGAAGGCGAUAAGCAGGCCGCCUGGGAAGUACGUCCGCAAGGAUGAAACUUAAAGGAAUUGGCGGGGGAGCACUACAACCGGAGGAGCCUGCGGUUUAAUUGGACUCAACGCCGGACAUCUCACCAGCACCGACAGUAGUGAUGACAGUCAGGUUGACGACCUUACCCGACGCUACUGAGAGGAGGUGCAUGGCCGCCGUCAGCUCGUACCGUGAGGCAUCCUGUUAAGUCAGGCAACGAGCGAGACCCGCGUCCGUAAUUGCCAGCAGCAUCCACGCGAUGGCUGGGUACAUUACGGAGACCGCCACGGCUAACGUGGAGGAAGGAACGGGCAACGGUAGGUCAGCAUGCCCCGAAUGUGCUGGGCAACACGCGGGCUACAAUGGCCGGGACAACGGGUUCCUACACCGAGAGGUCGCGGAAAUCCCUUAAACCCGGUCGUAGUUCGGAUUGUGGGCUGAAACUCGCCCACAUGAAGCUGGAUUCGGUAGUAAUCGCGUGUCAGAAGCGCGCGGUGAAUCCGUCCCUGCUCCUUGCACACACCGCCCGUCAAAUCACCCGAGUGAGAUCCGGAUGAGGCCAUCAUGCGAUGGUCGAAUCU
Molecule: ribosomal RNA, 989 nt
Filed under: uncultured archaeon
Lineage: Archaea
Description: bacterial SSU rRNA
Rfam family: Archaeal small subunit ribosomal RNA
Source: RNAcentral